CGAACGGGUGAGUAAUACAUCGGAACGUACCCAGUAGUGGGGGAUAGCUCGGCGAAAGCCGGAUUAAUACCGCAUACGCACUGAGGUGGAAAGCGGGGGAUCUUCGGACCUCGCGCUAUUGGAGCGGCCGAUGUCAGAUUAGCUAGUUGGUGGGGUAAAAGCCUACCAAGGCGACGAUCUGUAGCUAGUCUGAGAGGACGACCAGUCACACUGGGACUGAGACACGGCCCAG
This 232-nucleotide ribosomal RNA is filed under the name uncultured bacterium. RNAcentral's name for it is "partial 16S ribosomal RNA". It matches the Rfam family "Bacterial small subunit ribosomal RNA", at positions 99 to 334 of the family's 1533-position model. The record is from RNAcentral.